This 497-nucleotide ribosomal RNA is filed under the name uncultured bacterium. RNAcentral's name for it is "partial 16S ribosomal RNA". It matches the Rfam family "Bacterial small subunit ribosomal RNA", at positions 28 to 507 of the family's 1533-position model. The record is from RNAcentral.
GACGAACGCUGGCGGCGUGCCUAAUACAUGCAAGUAGAACGCUGAAGAGAGGAGCUUGCUCUUCUUGGAUGAGUUGCGAACGGGUGAGUAACGCGUAGGUAACCUGCCUUGUAGCGGGGGAUAACUAUUGGAAACGAUAGCUAAUACCGCAUAACAAUGGAUGACACAUGUCAUUUAUUUGAAAGGGGCAAUUGCUCCACUACAAGAUGGACCUGCGUUGUAUUAGCUAGUAGGUGAGGUAAUGGCUCACCUAGGCGACGAUACAUAGCCGACCUGAGAGGGUGAUCGGCCACACUGGGACUGAGACACGGCCCAGAAUCCUACGGGAGGCAGCAGUAGGGAAUCUUCGGCAAUGGGGGCAACCCUGACCGAGCAACGCCGCGUGAGUGAAGAAGGUUUUCGGAUCGUAAAGUUCUGUUGUAAGUCAAGAACGGGUGUGAGAGUGGAAAGUUCACACUGUGACGGUAGCUUACCAGAAAGGGACGGCUAACUACGUG